Molecule: ribosomal RNA, 1438 nt
Filed under: uncultured organism
Description: 16S ribosomal RNA
Rfam family: Bacterial small subunit ribosomal RNA
Source: RNAcentral
AACGCUAGCUACAGGCUUAACACAUGCAAGUCGAGGGGCAGCAUGGUCUUAGCUUGCUAAGGCCGAUGGCGACCGGCGCACGGGUGAGUAACACGUAUCCAACCUGCCGUCUACUCUUGGACAGCCUUCUGAAAGGAAGAUUAAUACAAGAUGGCAUCAUGAGUCCGCAUGUUCACAUGAUUAAAGGUAUUCCGGUAGACGAUGGGGAUGCGUUCCAUUAGAUAGUAGGCGGGGUAACGGCCCACCUAGUCUUCGAUGGAUAGGGGUUCUGAGAGGAAGGUCCCCCACAUUGGAACUGAGACACGGUCCAAACUCCUACGGGAGGCAGCAGUGAGGAAUAUUGGUCAAUGGGCGAGAGCCUGAACCAGCCAAGUAGCGUGAAGGAUGACUGCCCUAUGGGUUGUAAACUUCUUUUAUAAAGGAAUAAAGUCGGGUAUGGAUACCCGUUUGCAUGUACUUUAUGAAUAAGGAUCGGCUAACUCCGUGCCAGCAGCCGCGGUAAUACGGAGGAUCCGAGCGUUAUCCGGAUUUAUUGGGUUUAAAGGGAGCGUAGAUGGAUGUUUAAGUCAGUUGUGAAAGUUUGCGGCUCAACCGUAAAAUUGCAGUUGAUACUGGAUAUCUUGAGUGCAGUUGAGGCAGGCGGAAUUCGUGGUGUAGCGGUGAAAUGCUUAGAUAUCACGAAGAACUCCGAUUGCGAAGGCAGCCUGCUAAGCUGCAACUGACAUUGAGGCUCGAAAGUGUGGGUAUCAAACAGGAUUAGAUACCCUGGUAGUCCACACGGUAAACGAUGAAUACUCGCUGUUUGCGAUAUACAGCAAGCGGCCAAGCGAAAGCGUUAAGUAUUCCACCUGGGGAGUACGCCGGCAACGGUGAAACUCAAAGGAAUUGACGGGGGCCCGCACAAGCGGAGGAACAUGUGGUUUAAUUCGAUGAUACGCGAGGAACCUUACCCGGGCUUAAAUUGCAGAUGAAUUACGGUGAAAGCCGUAAGCCGCAAGGCAUCUGUGAAGGUGCUGCAUGGUUGUCGUCAGCUCGUGCCGUGAGGUGUCGGCUUAAGUGCCAUAACGAGCGCAACCCUUGUUGUCAGUUACUAACAGGUUCCGCUGAGGACUCUGACAAGACUGCCAUCGUAAGAUGUGAGGAAGGUGGGGAUGACGUCAAAUCAGCACGGCCCUUACGUCCGGGGCUACACACGUGUUACAAUGGGGGGUACAGAGGGCCGCUACCACGCGAGUGGAUGCCAAUCCCCAAAACCUCUCUCAGUUCGGACUGGAGUCUGCAACCCGACUCCACGAAGCUGGAUUCGCUAGUAAUCGCGCAUCAGCCACGGCGCGGUGAAUACGUUCCCGGGCCUUGUACACACCGCCCGUCAAGCCAUGGGAGCCGGGGGUACCUGAAGUGCGUAACCGCGAGGAGCGCCCUAGGGUAAAACUGGUGA